Long non-coding RNA from Neofelis nebulosa (Clouded leopard), 578 nucleotides. RefSeq lists it as uncharacterized. Lineage: Eukaryota; Metazoa; Chordata; Mammalia; Carnivora; Felidae. The transcript has 3 exons. The record is from RefSeq and is a predicted model, not a curated record.
GAGCGGAGUCCCAGGUGGCGGGCGCCCCCGGUGUUGGUCGUGGACGCCCGCCGAGCCCGCUGGCUUCACCGCUGACUUGAGGUCCCACGCGGCGGCCAGGCCUUCCCCUGCUAAACUUCAAGGCAGGAAAUCUUGUGCCGUGUCACAUUGAGCACCUCCAGCUGUGAUGGUGCCAGUGGAGUCGUAAAUUUGAGAUGGCGGUAAAAGAAAAAAGACAAUCUGUCCGGGGCGGAGAGACAGGUGCUGCAAUGGACAAAAACCCGGACAAAUACAUUUUCCAGCAGACAGGAAAAGAGACAUUUCAAGCAGAGGAGACCACAUACGUGCAUAGAUGUCUGAAAGAUUAUGGUGUGUGUGAAGAACUGUAAGACGCUCCAAAUGGAGAAUAAAAAGUGGAGAAAAGCAGCAGAUGUGGCUGAAGUGUGCAAUUACUCAUACUAUGGAUUGAACGCAAUAUUUCAUACUAUAUGCAGGAAACAGCAUGAGUGAGUUUUGUGGAGGCUCAAACCCCAGACAGUGUUUCUGCAUAUUAGGUGCUCAGUAAAGUCUUAAGCUUCUAGUAGAGUCUAGGUGCCUGU